Ornithorhynchus anatinus (platypus) is the source of this 164-nucleotide small nuclear RNA. RefSeq annotates it as U1 spliceosomal RNA. The transcript has a single exon. The record is from RefSeq and is a predicted model, not a curated record. Lineage: Eukaryota; Metazoa; Chordata; Mammalia; Monotremata; Ornithorhynchidae.
AUGCUUACCUGGCAGGGGUAAUACCGUGAUCAUUUAGGUGGUUUUCUCAGGGUGAAGCUCAUUCAUUGCACUUUGGGUGUGCUAAGCCCUAUGGUCUCCCCAAAUGGAGGAAACUCGACUGCAGAAUUUGUGGUCAUUGGGAAUUGCAUCCAUGCUCUCUCCUG